Molecule: ribosomal RNA, 503 nt
Filed under: uncultured bacterium
Lineage: Bacteria
Description: partial 16S ribosomal RNA
Rfam family: Bacterial small subunit ribosomal RNA
Source: RNAcentral
AUUGAACGCUGGCGGCAGGCUUAACACAUGCAAGUCGAGCGGGGUGAUGGUGCUUGCACUAUCACUUAGCGGCGGACGGGUGAGUAAUGCUUAGGAAUCUGCCUAUUAGUGGGGGACAACAUCUCGAAAGGGAUGCUAAUACCGCAUACGUCCUACGGGAGAAAGCAGGGGAUCACUUGUGACCUUGCGCUAAUAGAUGAGCCUAAGUCGGAUUAGCUAGUUGGUGGGGUAAAGGCCUACCAAGGCGACGAUCUGUAGCGGGUCUGGGAGGAUGACCCGGCACACUGGGACUGGGACACGGCCCAGACUCCUACGGGAGGCAGCAGUGGGGAAUGUUGGACAAUGGGGGGAACCCUGAUCCAGCCAUGCCGCGUGUGUGAAGAAGGCCUUAUGGUUGUAAAGCACUUUAAGCGAGGAGGAGGCUCUUUUGGUUAAUACCCAAGAUGAGUGGACGUUACUCGCAGAAUAAGCACCGGCUAACUCUGUGCCAGCCGCCGCCGUAA